RNAcentral lists this ribosomal RNA (118 nucleotides) under Anolis carolinensis (green anole). The record is from RNAcentral. Lineage: Eukaryota; Metazoa; Chordata; Lepidosauria; Squamata; Anolidae.
CUCAAGGGGCUCACUGACCUUAAAACAACAGAUCCCAUCUGAUCUUGGAAGCUAAUCAGGAUCAGCUCUGGUAGUGCUUGGAUGGCAGACCACCAAUGAAUUCCAGGUGCUGUUAGUU